AUUGAACGCUGGCGGCAGGCUUAACACAUGCAAGUCGAGCGGGGUGAUGGUGCUUGCACUAUCACUUAGCGGCGGACGGGUGAGUAAUGCUUAGGAAUCUGCCUAUUAGUGGGGGACAACAUCUCGAAAGGGAUGCUAAUCCCGCAUACGUCCUACGGGAGAAAGCAGGGGAUCACUUGUGACCUUGCGCUAAUAGAUGAGCCUAAGUCGGAGUAGCUAGUUGGUGGGGUAAAGGCCUACCAAGGCGACGAUCUGUAGCGGGUCUGAGAGGAUGAUCCGCCACACUGGGACUGAGACACGGCCCAGACUCCUACGGGAGGCAGCAGUGGGGAAUAUUGGACAAUGGGGGGAACCCUGAUCCAGCCAUGCCGCGUGUGUGAAGAAGGCCUUACGGUUGUAAAGCACUUUAAGCGAGGAGGAGGCUCUUUUGGUUAAUACCCAGAAUGAGUGGACGUUACUCGCAGAAUAAGCACCGGCUAACUCUGUGCCAGCCGCCGCAGUAA
RNAcentral lists this ribosomal RNA (503 nucleotides) under uncultured bacterium. RNAcentral describes it as "partial 16S ribosomal RNA". It matches the Rfam family "Bacterial small subunit ribosomal RNA", at positions 30 to 523 of the family's 1533-position model. The record is from RNAcentral.